UACAGAGGGGGCAAGCGUUAUUCGGAAUUAUUGGGCGUAAAGGGCGCGUAGGCGGUUCUUCAAGUCUCUCGUGAAAUCCCUCGGCUUAACUGAGGACGUGCGGGAGAUACUGAAGGGCUUGAGUCCGGAAGAGGGUGGUGGAAUUCCCAGUGUAGCGGUGAAAUGCGUAGAUAUCAAGUGGAACACCAGUGGCGAAGGCGAGUCUCUGGACAUUUCCUGACGCUGAGGCACGAAAGCCAGGGGAGCAAACGGG
RNAcentral lists this ribosomal RNA (253 nucleotides) under uncultured bacterium. RNAcentral describes it as "partial 16S ribosomal RNA". It matches the Rfam family "Bacterial small subunit ribosomal RNA", at positions 524 to 776 of the family's 1533-position model. The record is from RNAcentral.